AUUGAACGCUGGCGGCAGGCCUAACACAUGCAAGUCGAGCGGUAGAGAGAAGCUUGCUUCUCUUGAGAGCGGCGGACGGGUGAGUAAUGCCUAGGAAUCUGCCUGGUAGUGGGGGAUAACGCUCGGAAACGGACGCUAAUACCGCAUACGUCCUACGGGAGAAAGCAGGGGACCUUCGGGCCUUGCGCUAUCAGAUGAGCCUAGGUCGGAUUAGCUAGUUGGUGAGGUAAUGGCUCACCAAGGCGACGAUCCGUAACUGGUCUGAGAGGAUGAUCAGUCACACUGGAACUGAGACACGGUCCAGACUCCUACGGGAGGCAGCAGUGGGGAAUAUUGGACAAUGGGCGAAAGCCUGAUCCAGCCAUGCCGCGUGUGUGAAGAAGGUCUUCGGAUUGUAAAGCACUUUAAGUUGGGAGGAAGGGCAGUAACCUAAUACGUUAUUGUUU
RNAcentral lists this ribosomal RNA (446 nucleotides) under Pseudomonas sp. RNAcentral describes it as "bacterial SSU rRNA". It matches the Rfam family "Bacterial small subunit ribosomal RNA", at positions 30 to 470 of the family's 1533-position model. The record is from RNAcentral. Lineage: Bacteria; Pseudomonadati; Pseudomonadota; Gammaproteobacteria; Pseudomonadales; Pseudomonadaceae.